Molecule: ribosomal RNA, 240 nt
Filed under: uncultured Lactobacillus sp.
Lineage: Bacteria; Bacillati; Bacillota; Bacilli; Lactobacillales; Lactobacillaceae
Description: partial 16S ribosomal RNA
Rfam family: Bacterial small subunit ribosomal RNA
Source: RNAcentral
CCGUAGCCCAAGAGAUCGGGAUAACACCUGGAAACAGAUGCUAAUACCGGAUAACAACAGAUGAUGCCUAUCAACUGUUUAAAAGAUGGUUCUGCUAUCACUCUUGGAUGGACCUGCGGUGCAUUAGCUAGUUGGUAGGGUAACGGCCUACCAAGGCGAUGAUGCAUAGCCGAGUUGAGAGACUGAUCGGCCACAUUUGGGACUGAGACACGGCCCAAACUCCUACGGGAGGCAGCAGCA